RNAcentral lists this long non-coding RNA (268 nucleotides) under Apteryx rowi (Okarito brown kiwi). RNAcentral's name for it is "lncRNA (ENSARWG00000012886.1)". The record is from RNAcentral. Lineage: Eukaryota; Metazoa; Chordata; Aves; Apterygiformes; Apterygidae.
ACGCGCAGCGGCCGUUAGGUUGUCUCAGCAGUUAUCUCUCGCUGCAGGUCUGCCCGGUGACGGACGCUGACGCUUUAUUUUCGUAUGUUGAUACAAAGGCUUAAUCAUCACAGCAUGAGAAGACAGCACCAUCUCUUGGGCUUCAGAUACUGUAACCAUAUAACAAAUAGGAAGGGGCAGAAUCAGCACCGGUAUCGGUUCAUAGCAGGUUCAACCAUGCUGUGUCAAUCAUAUCAGCUCACGGAAGUCAUAGGAGACAGGUCUCUUC